UUGCAACACUCCUGGCAUCUAAGUUUCCUUUCAUGAUUUCCGGCAAAGUCAAACUAUGUGUAGUUUUCUGUUGACAGUUCUAACGCUCACCAUGAAAUGAAGUAUCCUUUUGAUACUUGCAAGCCACGGUCCUAGUGCGUAUUGGGCAAUUUCCAGAAACUUGCUUCUAGCAGACAACGCUGUUGCUCCUCUCCUACAUUAACGUACACGUAUAUGUGUAGAAAAAGAAUCACUGUGUUGCCACAGUCGACCCCUUCCCUCAUCAGCUCCCUGAAUUAAUUGGGUAAGUUUUCAUUCUGAGGGCGCUUUGCUGCAAGUCUCAAAGUAUAAACUUAAUGUGAGACUUCAAUACAAUGUCAAAUAGAUUACAAUCUAGUCAUUUUCUGAGCUGUGCAAUUAAAAG
Molecule: long non-coding RNA, 403 nt
Filed under: Struthio camelus australis
Lineage: Eukaryota; Metazoa; Chordata; Aves; Struthioniformes; Struthionidae
Description: lncRNA (ENSSCUG00000018287.1)
Source: RNAcentral